UUACAAUGAUGAACUUUUUUUAUCCCGAAUCUGAAUCACUGAUGAUCCAAAACUUUACGGAUCUGAUUUCUGAGUU
Molecule: small nucleolar RNA, 76 nt
Filed under: Oryzias sinensis (Chinese medaka)
Lineage: Eukaryota; Metazoa; Chordata; Actinopteri; Beloniformes; Adrianichthyidae
Description: Small nucleolar RNA SNORD50 (ENSOSIG00000018576.1)
Rfam family: Small nucleolar RNA SNORD50
About the family: U50 belongs to the C/D class of snoRNA which contain the C (UGAUGA) and D (CUGA) box motifs. Most of the members of the box C/D family function in directing site-specific 2'-O-methylation of substrate RNAs.
Source: Rfam by way of RNAcentral